GGAAGAGAAUCGUCCCCGGUGGGGCGGCCGGACUUCAAAUCCGGUUGCGGCAGCGAGCCUGUCGCGGGUGGGUUCGACUCCCAUUCUCUUCCGCCA
RNAcentral lists this transfer RNA (96 nucleotides) under Paracoccus sp. S-4012. Its description in RNAcentral is "tRNA-Sec". It matches the Rfam family "Selenocysteine transfer RNA". The record is from RNAcentral. Lineage: Bacteria; Pseudomonadati; Pseudomonadota; Alphaproteobacteria; Rhodobacterales; Paracoccaceae.